This 5261-nucleotide long non-coding RNA is filed under the name Prunus persica (peach). RNAcentral describes it as "long non-coding RNA (PPER_LNC006688)". Lineage: Eukaryota; Viridiplantae; Streptophyta; Magnoliopsida; Rosales; Rosaceae. The record is from RNAcentral.
AAGAACAAUUCAGCUUUGCUUCAAGCAAAUGAGUUUGCAUUAAGAUGUUCAUUAGGCAUCUCUGUUGACUCACUGGAAAUUAAUCAGCUUCAAGAAUCUGUGCUUUUAAAGCUGGACACUUCAAUCAGUGUGAAUCGAUAUAUUGCUCUAGCGCAGCUAAAUAAGUUUUAGUUGUUCGUUAAAGUAAAUUAUCGCUUAUAUAAAUUUUAAAAAAUAAUAAUAACUGAUGAGGGUUUCCCCAUAUUGGUUGUUUGAACCAUUCAUACUCUAUAUUGGUUUCUUGCUCAAUGCUUCAUAUUAGUUUGUUCGAAGGUUGGCCUUCAAAGGACAAAGUGAAAGUGACAAAUUGCAAAAACAUAUAUAUUAAAAAUAUAUUUAGAACUAAAUAACAGAGGACAUGAAUGAUCCUCUUUAGACCAAACAAAAAAAGGGUGAAUCCUGAGGAUGAUUAAAAUUUGUUAACAUUUUUUCAUCUAAUCCCUGACCAAUGGGGCAGGAUUGCUAGGGGAAUAGGGGAUUGCAGCUAAACCCAAUGUGUGGAUAGACUUGAAUUACUUCUAAUUAGUGAUAAACAUAAUCUACAUAAUUUGCAUAAUGAUGAGUUGUCUUUUGACGUGUCAUCGACUGAAGUACUAGUAAUUGAUAAGAUGUGGGAGUGGACGGUUGAGAGCAUGAAAUAAACAUUUAUAUUUACUUAUUAGUUUUCUCCAAUAUCUUAAUUGACUCCCAUCACCUUGAUUCACUUUGAUAUAUUUAUAAUAUUUAACAAACCAAAUUUACAUGAUGCAAUGUUCACAACAAAAACAUUUAUAUAUAUAAACUAUUCAUGCGUUUGAAAAUUAUCACAAAAUUCUAGUGAGAAAAGAAGACACAAGAAAUUUAUUCAAAACUUUAGCCAGGUUUCAAAAUUAUCACAAAAUCCUCAUGAAAUUUUUUGGAAUUUUGAGCACUUGUUCCCAAAUAAAUUUUUUGAAACCAUAAGGAUUGCAGAUCAAUUUUGACGUCGUAAUAAUGUAUUAAUAUAGUUUUGUUAGAAGUUCAACAUUGCCAUUUACCUAACUGUAGCUUACUACUCAUUGUGACAUUAAGCUAACUGUGGCUAACUAGUUCUCUUUGGCCUUGUUUGGUGAGUUGGACUGGAUGAGACCUUUUCAAUUAAAAUGGACAUGGAUCCAGUCUGUUGUUUGGUGAAUUACAUUUUGUUUGUUUCUUUUUAGGUUAUAAUUCUGACUUGAGCUUAGGGGUGGGCACGGUUCGGUUUGGACCGGUUUUUGCCUCAAAUUAGAACCGAUCUGAUACUAUUCAUCCGGUUUGGUUCGGUUCGGUUUUAAUAAAAAAAAAUUCAAAAACUGUCCGGUUCGGUUUGAACCGAUUUCGGUCCGGUUCCGGUUCCGGUUCGAUUUUGAACCGGAUUAUAAAAAUUAUUAUUUUUAAUUGUUUUUUAAUACAAUUCUCAACUGAAAUAUUAUUUUUUUACUUGAAAAUUAACAAAUUAUUCAAUUUCAUAUAAAAAAUAAAUAUUAAAGUGAGAAAAGAGAGAUAUUUUGACAUUGAACUUGGAUAAAUAUUAGUUUUUUUUAGUGAAAUUAAAAAUAUAGCAUUAAAUAUAAUUAUAUAUUGAAAUUAUAUAUUUUUUUAGUUUCACCGGUUCGGUUCGGCCCGGUUCGAUUUUUAAAGACAUGAAACCGGAUCCGGAACCGGUCCAAACCGGUCUGGUUCGGUUUUUGACUGGUUUUUGACUUUUUGGUCAACUCAGUUUUUUUCCGGUUUGGUUCGAUGCGGUUCGGUUCGGAUUUCCGGUUCGCCGGUUUGAGUGCCCAACCCCUACUUGAGCUCAUAUAAUUUUUUUUUAACUUAUCGAAAAAAUAUUACAAAAGAUACAUAGAGAAUAGAAGGCCACAUUUUGGUAAUUUGCCUAGGGCCUCCAAAACCUUAUAGGACCGCCACUAUAUUGAGCUUUGGGCUGGUGCAAUAUAGAACCAAGGUUGGUACAAAGGCUUAACUCGAGCUGGGUUACUAUAUGAUUAGCAUGGUCCGCCCAUAGUAUUGGGUUGAUCCAGCUGCCCGCCUAAUCAAAACCUCCAUGGCCAUGGAGUCAUUUUAUAGUGAUGGUCUUAUUUAAGGCCUUUAGUCUCAAUCGUUGGAUCAAACUAACUAAUUUAUUUCAACGGUUAAGCAAUAAGCCUCAUCUAAGGGCUUUAUAAGGCCCUCACUAUAAAAUUCUACUAUGGUCAUGUUAUGUUAUCAUGAGGUUCACAUUGAUUACAUUGGAUUAAUCACAGCUUCUUGAUGGAAUUAAUUGAUAAUUUUACUACAUUUGAUACAAGUGAUAUUGGGAGAGAGGAGAAUCAAACUUAUGAUCUCCAGUGCAAGGGUUAAUGUGUUUAACUACCACUAAAACUAUAAGCUUCUUGGAAUAAUUCAUUUACAUUUUAGACUAGAAUGAUUAGACAUAGUCAAAUUCAAGUUAUUUUUAGACGACCAAACACGUGACUAGGUUUUGAGUUUGUUUCGUUUUGUGAUAUUUGUGUGUUUAAACCAAUUUCGAUGUCAUUGUCCCAAAAACCCUAGCCCCUUUUCUCCCAAAAAACACUCAUAGAGUUUUUUCCACUUUGAGGGGGGAGGAAGCCAUUGUUCUUCCCCCAUCUCCCCUCUUCUCUUCCUCCUUUCACCUCUUCCCCCAUUUUCAAAGACAAAGGGUUUUUCCUAUUUGUCUUAGUUUUGUUAUGAUUUUCAUCCAACUAUUAUAGGCGACUGCGGCUCAGCGUCAGAUCUUCACUUGCAUUUCGGCGUCAGAUCUCCACCAUAAUCUGUUUUGCAAUUUCUUUAUGUUUGGAAUAAGUUGCAGAGACUCUUUGGGUUCUCUGUGUAGUUUUCACCUCUCCUUUUGUGAGAGUUUUUAUCUCUCAUUUGUGAGAGCUUUUCAUCUCUCAUUUGUGAGAGUUUUAUUUGUAUUGUUAUGGCUUGAUUUUUUCAAGCUUUAUCUUUUUUUUAUUAUUCUAAGUUUGCAAUCUUAGUUGGGAUGCCUAUGUCAAAGUUUCUUCGAUCCUGCCUGAUCGUUAGUGGAGACACAUCAGAUUGUCUUAAUUUUGAUAUCAGACCACUCCGUUAUUGUAAUUGCCCUUUUGUGGCUAGUUUGUAUCGGCCCUUUGUGGCUAGUGGCUGUUUUGGCUGAAUUAUGAAUGCAAUCAUAGAAUUUCUCAACCAAAAAAAAAAAAAAACACGUGACUAGGAUUGUGAAUCCUUUGCCAAACAUGUAGCUUCAAUAUUCAUAACAUAACACAAUCAAAGUUUAGUGACCAUUAAUAGUCUAAUAAUCAUGCAUGUAAUAGCAUUAUAAGCAGAUAACUUCUAAAACUUUUUCUAAGAAAUCCAAAUGGUUGGUUGCUUCUAGAAGACCUAAUUCUAGUUGUGCUGGGUAGCCAUUAGGUCAUGCAAAGAAACCAAAGCCAUAGCAAUCAAAAUCCUCAUCUGCCUAUUUUUAUUAGUAAGAGGGUUCUGAGUGUUAGGCGGUGUGCUGAGUGAGUCUUCUCAGCUAGCCUCAGCCCUCGGUGUCAGAGUCUCAUACCUCUACACACUGUCGUAAUCCUUCGAAUUCUGAGCGUAAGAAACCGGCAAUUUGGACUAUUGAUUUAAUAUUGCGUUUUUUCAUUAGUAUUGUUACGGACACCAACUUCUUGUUCUCAAUUCCUGUGAUAUAUGACAUUGCAAUACUGUAAUAUCUUUUUGGUGUGAUAUAACACUUUUCGUAAUUAAAUUUUCUUGAUUCUAAUUGAAAUGUAAUGGUAAAACAUCGCGCAUGCUAUUUAGCCUAUUAAUACAUUUCCUUCUUGGUUUAUUUGAUUGGGGAAGAGGUUAGGGAAGAUUUAAUACUUCGGAGUAAAAGUAUUAUCUUAGUUUUAACAAAAUAUCAAAUCACAAAAUUCACGAGAAUCAGUAAUUAGUGUAAUAAUUUGAGUGAAGGCUAACACAAAGAUGUCAUACGAAUCUCCUUUGUUGUAUACGACAUAUCAUUUGGGGCUAAGCUUAGGAAUAGCAGACAAAAAAACCAUAGCGGGCUUGGUUUAAACAUCAGUCCAAUGAACAAAAUAUAUGAAGUUUAAGCCCAACCCAAAUCAACCAAUCUUAAAGUUUAUGCGGCAUUAAGAGUAGUAUGUCAAUUUGGUUUGAUUUAAUUAAGAACCAAGUGAAACUGCAUAUUCUUUAUAUAAAUGAUUCAUUAACCUAAGCCUAAGUUGCCAGUAUUUAAGUUACUAAUUAGAAGGCCACAGAACAAAAAAAAGAAGAAAAAAUUGGUUUCAUCUAGCUCUGCAAUCUGUUGUGCUAUUGUGAUUGUUGCUUCUUUUUUCAUAGGUUCUUCUUUUGCAGUCUCUAACAAGACCCUGACCAAGAUUUGCAUCCAAAACCCAAAAUCCAAAAAAAGUGUGACAAAUUUACAAACUGUCCCAUGCACCACCUCAGCUGACCUGCCUAAACUCUCACUAAUUUCUAUAGAGCUAGCAGGGAAGCAAGCUGACCAAAACCUUGAGACUUUCAAAGAGCUAAGCCACAAUGCCACUGCAGCUAAGAUGAAAGAGGAGUUUGAUGUCUGUGUGAGAUUUUACAAGGAGGUAAGGCCCCAAAUCCAAGCAGCACAUCUCUUGUCACAGAAGAGACAAUUAGGAGAACAAUUCAGCUUUGCUUCAAGCAAAUGAGUUUGCAUUAAGAUGUUCAUUAGGCAUCUCUGUUGACUCACUGGAAAUUAAUCAGCUUCAAGAAUCUAUGCUUUUAAAGUUGAACACUUCGAUCAGUGUGCUCUAGCGCAGCUAAAUAAGUUUUAGCUGUUCGUUAUCGCUUAUAUAAAUUAGAAAUAAUAAUAAUAACUGAUGAGGGUUUCCCGAUAUUGGUUGUUUGAACCAUUCAUACUCUCUGUAUUGGUUUCUUGCUCAAUGCUUCAUAUUAGUUUGUUCGAAGGUUGGCCUUCAAAGGACAAAGUGAAAGUGACAAAUUGCAAAUGUAUAUAAAUUAAAAAUAUAUUUAGAACUAAAUAACAGAGGACAUGAAUGAUCCUCUUUAGACCAAACAAAAAAAGGGUCCUUACACAUAAAAAAAAAUGACUCCCAAGUUAAAUAAUCCUAGGGAGACAAGAAAAAAAAAAUCCAAUACAUUCUAUAUAGACUUCAUUCUCUUUGAGAAACAGCAGGGGCCAACUAAGCAGCAGAUGGGGCGGUUCUGAAAUUGACAACGCCAGCCUCCGACAGAGCCGCCUUGAAUGCCUGCAG